Arachis stenosperma is the source of this 718-nucleotide long non-coding RNA. RefSeq lists it as uncharacterized. Lineage: Eukaryota; Viridiplantae; Streptophyta; Magnoliopsida; Fabales; Fabaceae. The transcript is spliced from 3 exons. The record is from RefSeq and is a predicted model, not a curated record.
CAAGACCAUGGUUACCUCUUCAUGUAAUCAAUACUGUGAUGUGGUGUUGCAAGAGGAAGAGGCCACGAAGCCUUGUCACACCAGCUCACCUCUUCCCACCUUCUGUAGAUAUAUAUAGAUGAGCUUAGUCUCUCAAUUUUCCUGGAAACCACAGGAAGAGAAGAAAGGAAGCAAGAGUGGCGGCCAAGAAGAAGGAAGAGGAAGACCCAGCAUAAAUCAUCAUCAUCUGCGUGCGUCACCACCAAGAAGAAGGAGAAGGGUCAUCAAGAGAGCUGCUAUCCGAAGCCAAAGAAGGAACCCUACCUCUUUCCUUUCCUGGUUUUCUUAGUGUUCCUCUUGUUGGGGUUUUCUGAUUUAAUAUAGCAAAGGACAGACUUUGGUUUGUGAAAUUUUCGAAGAGAGACGGGUCCGGCAAAGGAGCCCUGUGAGGUUCGUUCUAACCGCUGAGCUAUGAGGAUCCGGCGCGCGGUGGAGUCUUCAUAUGGAGCAUGUUUUGGACCUCUUUCUUGCACAAUGUUCGGAGAUCACUCCAGAGUUAGUCACAGUGGAUCUUUCGCUCCUAUUUGAUGAUCUUAGUAUCACUUUCCCCUCACUUUUGUAGUACUUUUAAAGGGGUAGGACGUCUUAGUAGUUCGGUUCCAGCUUAGGAAACCCGUGUGAGGGUUGUGACUGAUUUCUUCUUUUGUAUCUGUACGUAUAACUUGGUGUGAUACUCGGC